Syngnathus typhle (broad-nosed pipefish) is the source of this 7111-nucleotide long non-coding RNA. RefSeq lists it as uncharacterized. Lineage: Eukaryota; Metazoa; Chordata; Actinopteri; Syngnathiformes; Syngnathidae. The transcript is spliced from 2 exons. The record is from RefSeq and is a predicted model, not a curated record.
AUGCAACUUAUGUUUGAGACCUGUUGCAAAACGACUUCCGUUUCCUCGUUUUGCAAAGCCUGGGAGGCCGGUGCCUCGGCCGAGGAGUCUUUGUCGGACACGUUUGAACGAGGGAGCGCACUGAGGUGUACUGACAGAGGUAAGGUGACGUUUCAUUAACAUCCACUUAAUACACAGGGUUAGUCGCCUCAUUCUUUUCGGAUUUAUUGCAUCACUCGUAAGUUAAGACCUUCAAGAAAGCAUUUCUUUGGGACAGUCAUUUGCUUUGUGGUUUAAAGUUCCUGUUAAGUUGUCAUUUUGACUGUUCGAGGUUUCCGCCCGACAGCGACGAUAUAUUUGUUGUAAAGCAGCCUUGCGAUGAUGUAAAAAGAUUUAUCAGAAUUUCCGGGUAGUCUCAGCCCUGGAUUCCACUAAAAUAGACCCGCCCCUGUUCUGAACAGUAGCAAAAUCACUCUCUACUUGGAGAACCACAACAAGAGCAGUAUGUGUUAACGUUGCAAAAUGAGGAACGAACAAUCACGAGUUGCGUUUUUGGCUGCGGUAACCGACUUAUCCUUUUCCAAGGACGUAAUGAUUAGACAUGUUGUUACUAUUGUGAUUAACGACUGGAUGGAAGUUUGGAAAACGCUAAAGUGAAGGAUGAGAACAAGUUAGUUUUGUUGCCCAAAGUUUAGAUGUCUGAUAAUCAUCAUGUCAGCCUGAUCACUGUGCUGUCUGCACGCAAGUCGGGCAGCCAAUGGCUUUAAACCAGUAUCACCAGCAGCCUGGUUACAAGAGGAGCCCUUUUGGUUCUACAUACCAGACGAAAAGCUAAACAGGUGUUUAGUUAACAUGCAGUGGCGCGUGCCAAUCGACAGUUUUACCUUGUGUUGUCCGGCACCGACUGUUGCUGUGGACACACAAGCGCGUACAGUUGCUGCACCUUUUAGAUCAGAAUGUCACGAGACAGCUGUUUUAGUGACUCAAGCAAGUCAAAUGUUUACAGUGGUACCGCACACUGUUUUGUCUAUCAGCAGGCUAACUAACACAAGGAUCCAGAUCACUUGUGGCCUUUGUUAACGGUACAUUUGGACCAUGAGUCAUGCUGUAGCGUCACCUGUUGAGGAGCUGCAUGAUCCCACGCCACACCUCCCCUGAUGGACAGCAGGUGUCCCACAGUCCACUUGGACACUUUGUGCAUGAGACAACGCCAAAUGUCCACCAGCUGUCUGGCAGCCAGCCCAACACCAGGCAUUGACAAGAAGCACCGGUUAUUUUAAUGUUUCACUUUGUCUUGUACUUGUAGAUUGCCUUUUUUGCUUCAAGACAAGGUUGACUCGUAAUUGAUUUAUCUAUGCCCAUUCUAAGGUCUUAUAUUAUUACUAAGGAAAUAUGCUGCCCAUAGGGGCUGUGAACAGCAUUGAGGAUGACAUCAGAGCAAUCAGAUCGGGUGCUUGCUAAGUGUCAUCUUCUGGUAAAGCAUUGACAUCAUUGCCACAUUGCUGCGUUUCUGUCACCACAUCUUUGAUUCCAAUGAAAGAAAAAUGAUUCCAAGACAAGACCAAGAAAAAUAGUAGGUCAACUAUCUAAUGUAGCCAUAUUUUGUUAUUGACAAUCACUAUUUGUUGCUUAUUCACAUUGGGUAAGCUGUACCAUACUAAAAGCCUAUUUUCUUUUUUUUGUGUGUGUGCAUAGUACUAUGUGACAGAUGGGCAGGGCAUAGGGACUUGGCUGGCCUGCUAAUAGCAAAAAAUACACAUGUAUAUAAGUGUCGGGCAUUAAAAUGCAUGAGGGGGCUGCGAAAAAAAAUAAAAAAUGGUGGCCACAACAACAAAGCAAACAAAAAAUAUGGCUCACCCUGAAGGGGAAAACUCAUAAUUUGGGUUUCGCAACACAGAUUCCAUAUUAUAGUUAGUUUAUCCUUUAUCUAAAUUAAUAAAGUUGUAAAUUAGAAUAUAAUAGUAUAAAUAAGUAGAUAUACUUGCAUUCCUAUUGAAAAAAAAAUGUUGACUGAUGCUUUGUAUCCGAUGCAUUGUGGUUUGCUCAGAUACUUUCUAAGUUAAAAAGAAAGCGAACUGGGAGAAACCAACCAAUUACAACAACUGAUUUGGACUAGGGGGAAAAAAUAUAGGUGUGAAAGCCGCCUGAGAAUGAACAUACAGUAGGCUUAGGUUAUGAGAAGCCCUGUGCAUACACUUUGAGCGUUCCAUUUUGUAAUUGGUGGGGGUGAGAAGCUAAAAUAAGCAACAUGUCAUUUUCCCAUCGCCGGAGUUGUUGCGACUGUGCAAACACUGUGAGAUGUGCGACCUGAUACUGUUGCCAGUUAUUCUGAAACAGACACACGGAACAAUCGCCAAAACAACACAAAGCAACUCGCCGCCUCAUCUGUUUGCCUGACUCUGAGGCUCAGUACCGGAAAGCAAGGUAGCACUACAUAUUUGAACACUACCAGUUUAUAUACUGUGGAAAACAAUGUUGACUGAGAUUGUUGGAACUAAAUGUUGAUACAAUAUUAUGAUAUUUUGCCGACAAUACAAUGGUGAGCAAUUACACAGGGAUAUAUACCACUGACACACAUCAUGAUUCACCAAUGUGUCAAAUGGCCACAGCCCCAACUACUGGCCAGGUUUUAUUCAAUGUCAAAUUAUUUUUGCCUAAGUGUCAGUGGCUGGUAUCGGCCCCCUUCAAGAAAACGGCUACAUUGUAAUUUGGAUGGUAUUGGCUCAAUACCGAUACCUGGCAUGGGUAAUGCCCAUCGGUAAUGAACAGUAUUCUUUCACAUGACAAACGUAAAAAAAGACACUCAAUUUUAGCAUGGAAAAAAAUGAUGCAAAAUGAGCAAUUACAAAAACAAUCCACUUUUAAUUAUGUGUACAAGUUCACCUAAUGGUGCACUCAUAGACUAUAGGUUGAAUAAUACAAGUCUGUUUGUAUUGUAGCAUGGAAAGAGUGGCAUUUUCCCCCAGAUAUUCAUUAGUUUCUCAUUAUCUCGCAGUAAAAGGAGCGACCAGCUAGUCUCUUGAGUGUUAACAGAUGGGUGGGUGUGUCUUUACAGAUCCUGAACUCCCUUUUAGCGUGUGCAUUCCUUUGGUAUGCUGCAUGGCAUUUUGCCAGGUUCAAGUAUAUUACCUCAGUAAAAGGAAUGUUUUUAAUGUAGUAUUUAAGGACUCCAAAAGUAACCUGAGUAGAGCCAUUCACCCAAAAUUCAUGAGUAUGCAUUAAAAUAUUCAUAGAAGUUCACAGCUUGGGUUAAAAUCCAUCAUGGUUGGUACCAGCACACAUUAACACCAAAUGAUAAAUCUGCUCAGUGCAUUCCGAUCACAAGAUGUAAGCUUAUAUGUAGCUUCUUAAUAUCCAGCAAGCAUCAAGGCACAUUUAUACGUGAUGCAUGGCAUCAGGCUGAAACAACUCUGAUCAGCUCUACAGUCGUAUUCAACUGAGGCUGAAAGAGAAUACUGCAAUCAAUGGGGAAUUGGGCAAUUAUAAUUGAGGUCAAUGAUCAUUAACCAUGAUUGCAGUUGUUUGACCGUUUAUCUUGGGCUUAUUUUUUUGCAUCACAAAAUAUGGCAUUUUAAAGGGAGGGUGUAGACUUUUUUAUGUCAAAUGCAUAUGGUUAUUGUUGAGUUGCAAUAACUUAAUGUUUACGACCGGUACAUGAGUCCCUUUCAAUAUAUCGUAUGCCUUGAUCGCCUUUCGACUCAUUACUAAGGCGCCAUUUCUUUGAAAAUAAUUUGUAGUUAUUGAGUGAACAGCUCGGAUCUUAACAGUGUUUUCUGGAGCCAAGGGAACAGAAAUUUGAAUUCCCCAGUGGUACAAUUUAAGAGUUCAAUCAACAAUUCCUGGAAAAUUAAGCCUCAAAAGGCAGAUAAAUUCAUGUGACUUUCACAAGCUUUGCGAACAUCUUAUGUCAUCAGUCUGUGUUUUCCCUUUUUCUCUUCUGUGUUUUUUAUAAUGCAACUCCAGAAGGGUGUCACUGAUGGCGAUAAGGGAUAUUAACCUUAGAACCAGCAAUAGAAUUUAGAGCAAGAUGAAAAAAUAAUCUCACUGAUCACUACAAUCAGAGCAAAACAAGACCAGCAAUUAAAUUAAAUUACGUACACAAACUUGCAGAGUAGAUACCAUGUUAAAGAUCUUUAUUACCAUCUAUAAAUAAAAGACUAUAUACGUUGUAUAAAAUUCUUGUGGAAGACUAUCCUUUGUCAAGAGGUGUGUGGAUUUCUCCUGAGAACAUUUCUUGGAUAAAAGCAACCGAGUGACACUGACACCCACUCACACAACACACACUACCCCACAUGCAGUCUCCCAUGUGAGUCACACUUUCCCGUACGUCGAGGCUUCCUCUCUCGAAUUAAACAACAUUGUGCUCUACGUUUGUCAGAUGACUCAGUGAUGUGUCAUCCCGCUGCUAUCACAGCUUGAGACAACCGCUUGGCAUCCGGGUGGCCACCGCUCUAUAGCUUUGAGCGACAUCCUCUUUUGUGCACUAACUCGCCCUCAAAUCCCUGCCUCAGCACUAGGUCCCUGUUUUUUUCUUUCUUUCUCUGACUGGCUGGGGCGUGGCAUCCAAGCACUCAAAAGUAUUAGUAAUCGUAUUUACUUUUUAUAUUACAUUCAGAUAUUAUCUCCAGAUCCAGACUUAUCACAUUUGUUCCACCAUUAAAUUAACUUACGCUGCACAUUGAGGAGUUCCUUCGGCAUUGUAUUUAAUUGUGUGUUAGUGGCAAUUUUCCGGUCGACAUAUUGUAUCUGCAGGUGGCAGUGUAAGAAUAGAAGAAAGCACAGUGGCCGUGUGUUUAGUGAACGAGACGAAGUGACCGUUUGAACGGUUAAGGCGAUGGACUGCCAAUCCAUUGUGCUUUGCAUUCACGGGGUCGAAUCUCAUCCUCAUCCAUGUUUAGCUUUGUCCUAUGGUAUCAACAGGUACAGCAAAUAUUGUAAUGUCAAGUACUUGCAUCAUACUGUGUUUUAUAAUUACAAUGAAUAGUGGUGUACCUUCCAUAACGGUAUGAAGCACAAUGCCAAUGAGGCAUGCAACAGGCGAAUGUCAAGUGACACAUUUCACAACUGAUGAUGGGUGAGCGUCUGCUUUUUUAUAACUCACUCGCUGCUGUUUGCCUACUAGUAUAGGUCCUUUUAAGAUAAUAGUAUACAUUUCCUACAUUGAAUAUUGUCAGUAUUGUCACUUUCUCUCUCUCUCUCUCUGUUCUAUUCAUUUUGAAAACAGGAUAGGCAACUUUGAACAAAUCAUAAAAAUGAAUACUGAACAUGUAUUACGUACUCAAUAUUUUUGGCAAAACAAACACUAACAAAACUCCAACACGCACACCCACCCACACCCAUACAUGUUCCAUUGAUUCAGGAAGCAGGUCAAAUUUUUCCAUCCAAAUCGAGGAGGUCCUAGGUGUACGUGCAGCAACAGUCGAGUGACUUCCUUUGCCAAAGGGCCAAAUUCCACAUGGUCCAUGACCAUUAACAUCAACCCACCCAGACUGGCCCAGACCCCUCCCACCUCCUGCUCUCUGCGCAGUUCUUGGGGAAAGCCUCGCUUUCACAAGCAGCUGUUAGGUCUUCUCCCCUGGCACGAGAGCUCGGAAGAGGUUGUACGCUUCCUCGUGCUGUCAACAUCUCCUUGUCGCUCACUUUUACAGCGUCGUUUACACCAGAGAAACACGAGGGCGGAUGAAUUGAUCCCAAACCUUAUGGCAGUCAUACUCGGUUGUCUGUUUACUUCUCAAAUUAUAUCAUGGGAGAAAUCUUUGAACAAUAGUGACAGGCCUUUUUUAAUUAUACUGAUAUAAUAAGUGUGACGAUAACCAUGACAAUAGCACUUGAAGUCAAAUGCCCCAAUCAGUUUGAAAUGAAAACAUUAGUUUUAAAAAGUUGCACCAAACUUUAGCCGAGAAACAAUAAAUACAGAAAUACAGAAAAGUCAAGACAUUUUAUUACCCUUUGCAAUAUUUUAAUAGCCAAACUUUCUUAAUAGACAUUCUUGGCCAACAUAUCUAAUUCAAGUGAAAUAUGGGACUCCCUUGUAUAUUCAUGAGAUAUUUUUUACCUAAUCAUUCGUUAUUUGGAAAAAGAAAAAAACAAAACAAAAAAAAGAGACACCUUUACUACAGUCGGACUUGAGGUGCGUUACAAUCAGCUCGUGCUAACUUUUACAUUGCUCUUUAAAAACUCCCUACGUGUGGGGCGGCAGGGUCAGUGGGCUACGUCAAGAAUCUGGGCCACAGCUAUCUGAUCCCUUUUUACUUGGUAUGCAGUUAAUGAGCUUUUUGAACCCUCAUUAGACACAACUCCCCCUCACACCAACACACAUUCACCACAAGCUUUUCACCCCCACUCUGAAACGUGUGCCAGCCCACCAUUGUAUCUUACACCGUGGAGACAUGCAGCUGCCUUUAGUCUCGUCUCUUGGAAGCAAGAGCCAGGCCUCAGUUAUACAGUACUAACAUAGGACACACACACACGCACACACACACACACACACACUGCAAAGGGCAAAGUUGUCAUAUUGUGUGUUUUGUAAAUGGGGGUAACAAAACGGCAACGAUGAGGGCAAGGAAGGUCGAAGCAGGGCCGCUUAAGUCUGCAAAGUGUUGGAAUGCAAUCAACAGCUUACAUCUUUAACACAAAUGUGACAUUUAGUAAGUGCUGGAUGGAAAGUUCUGUCUAUUAUCAUUGGAGAGGUGGGUGGUCUCUAAGACCAAUAGGGGGUCCAUGCUGUGUUGCAUUUUGUGGAAGGCACCUGAAAUCAAAUGCUAAUCUUUUCUUGGAGACUUUGUGUUACUGUUCCUGCUUACUUGCAAUCAGUCGAGCAAGACAAAUUUGCCCCUCGUGUGCUUGAGCAUAUUUCUCAUGUGAUGUAGCUGUAGACUUUUGUAGGCUCCGAAGGAUUAAGACAUCUUUUCGAUGAAGAAACGUUUGCAUGGAACAAAUUACACUCUUGAUGACAAAUUAACCUUGGUGUGAAUAAGCAGUUUUUUAAUCCCAAUGUGCCAAAUUUUCAAAGUUAUCUUUUUGUGUGUGUGUGGUUUUUUUUAAAGGUAUGCAACAAAUUAAUGAAAUUUCUAUUCAUGUGACUAGGGAAAUGUAUUUGAUAUGAGAGCAAUUAAAUAAAUUUGUAAACUGA